AGUGAGGAAUAUUGGGCAAUGGAGGCAACUCUGACCCAGCCAUACCGCGUGAAGGACGACGGCCCUAUGGGUUGUAAACUUCUUUUAUAUGGGAGGAAUAAGGUCUACGUGUAGACUGAUGACAGUACCAUAUGAAUAAGCACCGGCUAACUCCGUGCCAGCAGCCGCGGUAAUACGGAGGGUGCAAGCGUUAUCCGGAUUUAUUGGGUUUAAAGGGUCCGUAGGCGGACUGGUAAGUCAGUGGUGAAAUCCUAUCGCUUAACGAUAGAACUGCCAUUGAAACUGCUAGUCUUGAAUUAUUUUGAAGUUGGCGGAAUGAGUAGUGUAGCGGUGAAAUGCAUAGAUAUUACUCAGAACACCGAUUGCGAAGGCAGCUGACUAAGAAUAUAUUGACGCUGAUGGACGAAAGCGUAGGUAGCGAACAGGAUUAGAUACCCUGGUAGUCUACGCAGUAAACGAUGGAUACUCGUUGUCGGGAAAAUUGAGACUCGGUGGCUAAGCGAAAGUGAUAAGUAUCCCACCUGGGGAGUACGAUCGCAAGAUUGAAACUCAAAGGAAUUGACGGGGGCCCGCACAAGCGGUGGAGCAUGUGGUUUAAUUCGAUGAUACGCGAGGAACCUUACCUGGGCUUAAAUGUAUUUUGACAGGACUGGAAACAGUUUUUCCCGCAAGGGCAAUUUACAAGGUGCUGCAUGGUUGUCGUCAGCUCGUGCCGUGAGGUGUCAGGUUAAGUCCUAUAACGAGCGCAACCCCUAUCGAUAGUUGCUAGCAGGUAAUGCUGAGGACUCUAUUGAGACUGCCGGUGCAAACCGUGAGGAAGGUGGGGAUGACGUCAAAUCAUCACGGCCCUUACGUCCAGGGCCACACACGUGCUACAAUGGUGCAUACAGAGAGCAGCCAUCUGGUGACAGAGAGCGAAUCUUCAAAGUGCAUCACAGUUCGGAUCGUAGUCUGCAACUCGACUACGUGAAGCUGGAAUCGCUAGUAAUCGCAGAUCAGCCAUGCUGCGGUGAAUACGU
This 1019-nucleotide ribosomal RNA is filed under the name uncultured bacterium. Its description in RNAcentral is "bacterial SSU rRNA". It matches the Rfam family "Bacterial small subunit ribosomal RNA", at positions 353 to 1371 of the family's 1533-position model. The record is from RNAcentral.